This 106-nucleotide ribosomal RNA is filed under the name Escherichia coli. Lineage: Bacteria; Pseudomonadati; Pseudomonadota; Gammaproteobacteria; Enterobacterales; Enterobacteriaceae. The record is from RNAcentral. RNAcentral also lists the same sequence under 1 other name.
UAGCGCGGUGGUCCCACCUGACCCCAUGCCGAACUCAGAAGUGAAACGCCGUAGCGCCGAUGGUAGUGUGGGGUUUCCCCAUGCGAGAGUAGGGAACUGCCAGGCA